AGCGAACGCUAGCGGCGGGCUUAACACAUGCAAGUCGAGCGGAGAGCUUCGGCUCUCAGCGGCGAACGGGUGAGUAACACGUAGGUCACGUACCCUUUGAUGGGGAAUAACCUAGGGAAACCUGGGCUAAUACCGCAUAUGUCCUUCGGGAUGAAAGCCUUCGGGCGUCAGAGGAUCGGCCUGCGGCCCAUUAUUUAAUCCUAGUUGGUAGGGUAAUGGCCUACCAAGGGUACGAUGGGUAGCUGGUCUGAGAGGAUGAUCAGCCACACUGGAACUGAGACACGGUUCAGACUCCUACGGGAGGCAGCAGUGGGGAAUAUUGGACAAUGGGCGAAAGCCUGAUCCAGCCACGCCGCGUGGGUGAUGAAGGCCUUCGGGUUGUAAAGUCCUGUCGGGAGGGACGAAUCAAUGACGGUACCUCCCAAGAAAGCACCGGCUAACUCCGUG
This 447-nucleotide ribosomal RNA is filed under the name uncultured bacterium. RNAcentral's name for it is "bacterial SSU rRNA". It matches the Rfam family "Bacterial small subunit ribosomal RNA", at positions 29 to 507 of the family's 1533-position model. The record is from RNAcentral.